This 332-nucleotide ribosomal RNA is filed under the name uncultured Anoxybacillus sp. Its description in RNAcentral is "bacterial SSU rRNA". It matches the Rfam family "Bacterial small subunit ribosomal RNA", at positions 1049 to 1382 of the family's 1533-position model. Lineage: Bacteria; Bacillati; Bacillota; Bacilli; Caryophanales; Anoxybacillaceae. The record is from RNAcentral.
UUGUCGUCAGCUCGUGUCGUGAGAUGUUGGUUAAGUCCCGCAACGAGCGCAACCCUCGACCUUAGUUGCCAGCAUUCAGUUGGGCACUCUAAGGUGACUGCCGGCUAAAAGUCGGAGGAAGGUGGGGAUGACGUCAAAUCAUCAUGCCCCUUAUGACCUGGGCUACACACGUGCUACAAUGGGCGGUACAAAGGGUCGCGAACCCGCGAGGGGGAGCCAAUCCCAAAAAAGCCGCUCUCAGUUCGGAUUGCAGGCUGCAACUCGCCUGCAUGAAGCCGGAAUCGCUAGUAAUCGCGGAUCAGCAUGCCGCGGUGAAUACGUUCCCGGGCCUU